Molecule: ribosomal RNA, 2859 nt
Filed under: Moraxella catarrhalis
Lineage: Bacteria; Pseudomonadati; Pseudomonadota; Gammaproteobacteria; Moraxellales; Moraxellaceae
Description: bacterial LSU rRNA
Rfam family: Bacterial large subunit ribosomal RNA
Source: RNAcentral
GGUCAAGUAAUGAAGUGCACAUGGUGGAUGCCUUGGCAGUCAGAGGCGAAGAAAGACGUGAUAGCCUGCGAUAAGCGUCGGUGAGGUGGCAAUAUCCUGUGACCCGGCGAUUUCUGAAUGGGGAAACCCAACCAACAUAAGUUGGUUAUUACACAGUUUACUGUGUAAGGCAAACCGGGAGAAGUGAAACAUCUCAGUACCCCGAGGAAAAGACAUCAAAUGAGAUUCCGUAAGUAGCGGCGAGCGAACACGGAGGAGCCGAUCAAUUUUACAGUAGCAAAAUGGCGUGGGAAAGCCAACCAUAGUAGGUGAUAGUCCUGUAUGCGAAACUGUUUAAGCGACAUAUUAAGUAGGGCGGAACACGAGAAAUUCUGUCUGAAGAUGGGGGGACCAUCCUCCAAGGCUAAAUACUCCUGACUGACCGAUAGUGAACCAGUACCGUGAGGGAAAGGCGAAAAGAACCCCUGUUAGGGGAGUGAAAUAGAACCUGAAACCGUGUGCAUACAAGCAGUCGGAGCGGACUUGUUCCGUGACGGCGUACCUUUUGUAUAAUGGGUCAGCGACUUAUAUUCUGUAGCAAGGUUAACCGGAUAGGGGAGCCGUAGGGAAACCGAGUCUUAAUAGGGCGAAUGAGUUGCAGGGUAUAGACCCGAAACCGAGUGAUCUAUCCAUGAGCAGGUUGAAAGUGCCGUAACAGGCACCGGAGGACCGAACCCACUGUCGUUGAAAAGCCAGGGGAUGACUUGUGGAUAGGGGUGAAAGGCUAAUCAAACUCGGUGAUAGCUGGUUCUCCCCGAAAGCUAUUUAGGUAGCGCCUCGGACGAACACCAUUGGGGGUAGAGCACUGUUUCGGCUAGGGGGUCACACCGACUUACCAAACCGAUGCAAACUCCGAAUACCGAUGAGUGAUAUCCGGGAGACAGACGGCGGGUGCUAACGUCCGUCGUCAAGAGGGAAACAACCCAGACCGCCAGCUAAGGCCCCAAAUUCCUAGUUAAGUGGGAAACGAUGUGGGAAGGCACAGACAGCUAGGAGGUUGGCUUAGAAGCAGCCACCCUUUAAAGAAAGCGUAAUAGCUCACUAGUCGAGUCGGCCUGCGCGGAAGAUGUAACGGGGCUCAAACUAGGAGCCGAAGCUGCGGAUUUAAUUGUUUCAAUUAAGUGGUAGGGGAGCGUUGUGUAAGCCUGUGAAGGUGCACUGUAAGGUGUGCUGGAGGUAUCACAAGAGCGAAUGCUGACGUGAGUAACGACAAAACGGGUGAAAAGCCCGUUCGCCGGAAGACCAAGGGUUCCAGUCCAACGUUAAUCGGGGCUGGGUGAGUCGACCCCUAAGGCGAGGCCGAAAGGCGUAGUCGAUGGGAAAUCGGUUAAUAUUCCGAUACUUGUUUAUGAUGCGAUGGAGGGACGGAGAAGGUUAUGCCAGCCUGGCGAUGGUUGUCCAGGUGGAAGGAUGUAGUUAGACUGAGUAGGCAAAUCCGCUCGGUUAUUAAUGAGAUCUGAUAGCAAGCCAGUUUACUGGCAAAGUGGCAAAUACCCUGCUUCCAGGAAAAGCUUCUAAGCGAUAGUCAUAAACGAAUCGUACCCGAAACCGACACAGGUGGUCAGGUAGAGAAUACCAAGGCGCUUGAGAGAACUCUGCUGAAGGAACUAGGCAAAAUGGUACCGUAACUUCGGGAGAAGGUACGCUGCCGAUGGUGAUAAGACUUGCUCUUUGAGCUGUUGGCAGUCGCAGAUACCAGGCUGCUGCAACUGUUUAUUAAAAACACAGCACUCUGCAAACACGAAAGUGGACGUAUAGGGUGUGAUGCCUGCCCGGUGCUGGAAGGUUAAUUGAUGGGGUUAGCGUAAGCGAAGCUCUUGAUCGAAGCCCCAGUAAACGGCGGCCGUAACUAUAACGGUCCUAAGGUAGCGAAAUUCCUUGUCGGGUAAGUUCCGACCUGCACGAAUGGCAUAAUGAUGGCAGCGCUGUCUCCAGCAGAGACUCAGUGAAAUCGAAAUCGCAGUGAAGAUGCUGUGUACCCGCGGCUAGACGGAAAGACCCCGUGAACCUUUACUACAGCUUUACAUUGAACUUUGACCUAACUUGUGUAGGAUAGGUGGGAGGCUUUGAAGCAGAUACGCCAGUAUUUGUGGAGCCAACCUUGAAAUACCACCCUGGUUAUGUUGGGGUUCUAACUUAGGAUUAACAAAUCCAAGGACAAUGUAUGGUGGGUAGUUUGACUGGGGCGGUCUCCUCCUAAAGAGUAACGGAGGAGUACGAAGGUGCGCUCAGAACGGUCGGAAAUCGUUCAAAGAGUAUAAAGGCAAAAGCGCGCUUAACUGCGAGACCCACAAGUCGAGCAGGUACGAAAGUAGGUCUUAGUGAUCCGGUGGUUCUGUAUGGAAGGGCCAUCGCUCAACGGAUAAAAGGUACUCUGGGGAUAACAGGCUGAUACCGCCCAAGAGUUCAUAUCGACGGCGGUGUUUGGCACCUCGAUGUCGGCUCAUCUCAUCCUGGGGCUGAAGCAGGUCCCAAGGGUAUGGCUGUUCGCCAUUUAAAGAGGUACGCGAGCUGGGUUUAGAACGUCGUGAGACAGUUCGGUCCCUAUCUACCGUGGGCGUUGGAAAUUUGAGAGGAUCUGCUCCUAGUACGAGAGGACCAGAGUGGACGAACCUCUGGUGUUUCGGUUGUCACGCCAGUGGCAUUGCCGAGUAGCUACGUUCGGAUGGGAUAACCGCUGAAAGCAUCUAAGCGGGAAGCCCACCUCAAGAUAAGAUUUCCCUAAAGAGCCGUUGUAGACUACGACGUUGAUAGGUUGGGUGUGGAAGUGUAGUGAUACAUGUAGCUAACCAAUACUAAUUGCUCGUUUGGCUUGACCAU